Molecule: long non-coding RNA, 644 nt
Organism: Andrographis paniculata
Lineage: Eukaryota; Viridiplantae; Streptophyta; Magnoliopsida; Lamiales; Acanthaceae
Exons: 2
Source: RefSeq, a predicted model, not a curated record
UUAUCUUUGUUUAAUGGCAAAAUUGCUUAUAUCCCCCUGUGGUUUGAAAAUUGGAUGCUAUUUUUCCUGUAUUUUAAAAAACUGUGUGGUUCUUCCAUGUAAACUUUGCACACUCUUCCCAUCGAUCAAUUUAAUCUAACGGUGUUAAAUUUUAUAUGUAAUGGACCGUUAUACCCUCAAUUAAAUAACUCUCGUAACUCUUCUCUCUAGUUUCUCUCUUACCCCUCCCCACAGACAUCUAUCCCCACCAUCCCCGAAAUCGCCGCACCUCCAUUUACAGACGAAACUCCAGGUUCUGACCACUAUUCCGCGGCGGCUGUCUCUUCCGGCGGUCGCGGUCGCGAUUUCGGCCGGGAACCGGUUUGCCAUUCCUUCAUCUUCAACGAUAUCACGGGUUAGGGCAUUUCUUCAUUUUUCCUUUGCUUUCACGGACUAUGGCAAUUUCGGGUUGAGAAAUUCUUCGAUUUGUCAUAGAAGUGGAUUUUGGGUUUCAAGGAGGGGAGUCCGAAGGAGAAGAGUCCGAUGAUGAGGGGGUGAAGGAAUGGACGAGGAGGGUGAUGAUGUUCGCGAUAGUGACUGCCAACCGAUCAGCUGGGGAUCCUUUGCGUAUUGGCUGGUCGAGACAGGAAAUAACAGCGGGUGAG